UACGUAGGGUGCAAGCGUUGUCCGGAAUUACUGGGCGUAAAGCGUGCGCAGGCGGUUAUGCAAGACAGAGGUGAAAUCCCCGGGCUUAACCUGGGAAUGGCAUUCGGGACUGCAAGGCUGGAGUGCGGCAGAGGAGACUGGAAUUCCUGGUGUAGCAGUGAAAUGCGUAGAUAUCAGGAGGAACACCGAUGGCGAAGGCAGGUCUCUGGGCUGACACUGACGCUCAUGCACGAAAGCGUGGGGAGCAAACAGG
This 253-nucleotide ribosomal RNA is filed under the name uncultured bacterium. RNAcentral describes it as "partial 16S ribosomal RNA". It matches the Rfam family "Bacterial small subunit ribosomal RNA", at positions 524 to 776 of the family's 1533-position model. The record is from RNAcentral.